This 4282-nucleotide unclassified non-coding RNA is filed under the name Hevea brasiliensis (rubber tree). The record is from RNAcentral. Lineage: Eukaryota; Viridiplantae; Streptophyta; Magnoliopsida; Malpighiales; Euphorbiaceae.
CCCUGGUGCGCUGAUAAACAAGUCGAAACAAUCGAACUCUGAAGAAUCGUUUUUUAUUUUGUUAUUUGUUUCUGUUUCAGUUUCAGUGUUUCACAAUAAAUUUUUCACACAUCCCAAAAGGAGAUAAAUUAAAUGAUGGCGGAUUUUCUCCUUGCAUUUGCUAUGGAGGAGGUGCUGACUAGGGUGGGUUCACUUGCCGUACAAGGAUCACUCGUGCAUGGGGUUGCGACAGAGAGCUGAAAAGGCUAAGAGAGUCAUUGACUGUGAUUCGAGCUGCGUUGCAGGACGCAGAGGAAAGACGAGAGACAGAGAGGUCCAUUAGGCUUUGGCUGGAGAAGCUUAAAGAUGUGGUUUAUGAUGCUGAAGACGUGGUGGAUGAGUUUGGUUAUGAGCUUCUCCGGCGAAGGGUAGAGAUUCAAAACCAGAUGAAGGGUAAGGUAUGUAACUGCUUUUCGCUGUCAAACCCUUUUGCGUUCCAUCUCAAUAUGGCUCAAAAAGUUGAGAAGAUCAAUCAAUUGCUCGAUGAAAUUAAGAAUGAUGCAGCAGUCUUUGGACUUACUAGAGUUGCAUCAUCGGAUAGAAAUUCUCAGCUUAGCCUUAACCGAAAGACAGAUUCUUUCCUUGACAACUUCAAAGUUGUAGGGAGGGAAGAUGUGGUCUCUAAAAUUGUGAGCUUGCUGAUUAGCUCGAGCAAGAAUCAAGUUCUUUCUCUUGUACCCAUAGUGGGUAUGGCAGGUCUUGGAAAAACAACUUUGGCGAAGUUGGUUUCUAAGGUAGUGAAAGAGAGUAAACUUUUUAAUGUAAUUAUGUGGGUUUGUGUGUCUGAUAAUUUUGAUGAACGGAGGAUUUUAGGAGGAAUGUUGCAAACUCUUGAUGAAAAAACGGGCGGGAUAUAUCACAUUGAUGCUCUUCUACAGCAUCUUGAGAAAAGGUUGGAAGGGAAAAAAUUUCUUCUUGUGCUUGAUGAUGUGUGGAAUGAAGAAUCUAUGAAGUUUAAUAGUUUAAAAAGUCGUUUGGAAAAAAUUAGCAGAAACAAUGGGAAUGCUGUUCUUGUUACAACUCGUAGCAGGCAAGUAGCAUCUAUAAUGGAGACUUAUCCACUAUGUAGGCAUGAAUUGAAACAAUUGUCAAGUGAUGAAUGCUGGUCCAUUAUUAAAGACAGAGUGUUUGGAAAUGGUGCAUCAGUACCUUUGGACUUGGAACCAAUAGGACUGAAGAUUGCAAAAAAGUGUGGAGGUGUGCCAUUGGCAGCAACAGUUAUGGGUAGGACAAUGCAUUUUAAGAGCGAAAAGAACAAUGGCUGUUAAUUAAAAAUAGUAAUGUUUGGGAUGCAUUGGGAAGUAGUGAUGAAAUUUUACCAUUACUGAAACUGAGUUUUGAUCACUUGCCUCCCUCUUUGAAGUCAUGCUUUGCAUAUUGUUCUAUUUUUCCUAAAGAUUUUGAAAUUGAAAGAGAGAAAUAAUUCAACUUUGGAUGGCUGAAGGGUUUCUUCAGCCAUCUAAUGAAAGUACUGAAGUGAUGGAAGAUAUAGGGAAUAUGAGUAUUUUGAGUACUUGUUUGUCAUUUCUUUCUUUCAAGAUGCCAAAAGGGAUGAGUUUGAGAAUAUUAAAAGCUGUAAGAUGCAUGAUCUUGUACAUGAUCUUGCAUCAACUGUUUCAAAAACUGAGACAUUGACUUUGAAUGCUCCUACUCUUUCUGAUGAUGUAUCUCAUUUUCGUCGUCUGAAUGUCCAAUGUAAUUGGAAACCUGAAAUGUUAUUUCCAACUGGUGGUGCUAGAAAAUUGCGUACUUUAUUCUCAAUGGAUGAUGUCCUUUUGAAUUGGAAAUUGUGGAACUUCAAAAGCUUGCGAGCUUUGGACUUGCACCAGGCAUUUAUUGAAAAGCUGCCAGCUUCAAUCAGCAAGUUCAAGCAUUUGAGAUAUCUUGAUGUUUCAAGAACCACAAUUGAAUCAUUACCUGAAUCCAUCACAAAAUUGUACAACCUCCAAACAUUGAGGCUCAUUGAGUGCAAAUUGCUUCAAAAACUUCCCAAAAAAAUGAAUAAUUUGAUCAGUUUGCGGCAUGUUUAGUUUACUUACAAAUACCAGAUGCCAGCUCAAGUAGGGUGCUUAAUCCGGCUAAAGACACUGCCGCUGUUUGUCAUGGGGGCAGAAGGCCACAACAAAAUUCAAGAAUUGGAAUGCUUGAAUGAGCUAAGACGGAAAUUGUUGAUAAGCAAUCUGGAGCAGGUGAGAGACAAAAAGGAGGCAGUGAAAGCAAAAUUGCAGUCAAAAACAAAAAUAUAUGCAUUGGUAUUUGUAUGGAGCUCAGAAAGAGACAGCAGCAAAAAUGAUGAAGAUGUGCUGGAGGGCCUCCUCCCUCCCCAAAGCAUAAAGAGCUUGAAGAUUGUGAACUAUGUGGGUGAAAAAUUCCCAUCAUGGAUGUUGAUGAAUAUUCCUGACCAUGGUAACUCCUUGAUACUCAACAAUUUGGUGAAGCUGAAAUUGGAAGGCUGCAGGAAGUGUGAGCAACUCAUGAGGCUUGGACAUCUUCCUUGUCUUGAAAUUCUGGAGAUAGAUGCAAUGAGUAAUGUAAGUUUUAUCGGCAAUGAGUUUUACGGAAAUGAGGGAGGAUACCAGAACAGCGGAUGGUGGGAAACAAUGCAACUGUUUCCAUCAUUAAAAGAAUUCUACCUAUGUUCUAUGGAAAGUCUAGUUGAAUGGCUGGCACCAGCUGUAGGUGGAGGCAGUACAUUCGUAUUUCCUCCCCUCAAUGUGUUGAUCAUUUAUGGUUGUCCCCAGUUGAGAAGCAUUCCAAUAAGAUGUCAUUCGUCACUUGUAAAACUGGAAAUCAGUUUUUGUGAUGAAUUGGAUUAUUUGUCUGACUUCCUUGGCUUUACACUUCUUGAAGAUUUAACAAUACAAUGCUGUAAAAAUCUGGUGGCCAUUCCAAGUGUGCAGUUCCUUGCCUCUCUUAAAAGAUUAAGCAUUAAUUGCUGUGAUAGAUUAAAAUUGCUUCCAACUGGACUACAUUCUUGCUCAUAUCUGGAGUAUUUGUCAAUAACUGGCUACAAAGAACUGACCUAUGUUCCUGAUGGUCUACAAGAAUUGCCCUCUCUUGUUUAUUUAGGAAUAAAAUGGUGUCCCAAAUUGACUUGUUCUGCAUAGGACAAGAUACAUAUCUUGUGCUGCCUCAUUCAAUUGUAGCAAUUGCAGACAUGACAUCUCUUAAGCUUACUCACUCGAUUGCAGUAAUUGAAGAUUUCUCCAAGGAGUUGGAGGCUUUCCCAGAUCCUCAUUCACUCCAACUUAUCCAUGCAUCACUCAUUAAUGGGUAGGAUAAGUUCAAGUCUAUUCCUGAUCACCUUCAACACCCUAUUGCCCUUAAUUUAUUGUAGAUAUUUAAUUUCCAGUGGAGCAAAAGCUUUGCCACAGUGGUUGGGCAACUUCUUAUCUCCCAAAUUACUUGAUAUUGACUGAAAACUAAGUUCUUGUUGAGGAAAGUCACAAACAAGAUGGCCCAGAAUGGUCCAUGCAUCUGUGUGAGUUGUCAGUACAAUCAGAGGUAGUUUUAAAUUUCUUCAAUCCCAGCUCUUCUUCUUUCCUCUGCCCAUUUCCCCCGAACUGAUUUUUUUUUUAAACAGAUGUAUUUAAUUACCUUGUUUUUACUAGGUUUUAGGUGAGAGGUUGUUAACUAGAUGAAAAUAUGGAAACUUGAACUGAUGUAUUUCAAUUCAUCUUAUGUACACAUGCUCUCUAUCCUAGUACAUGAUUAUGUGUCUUUUGGUCUAUUGACCAAAAAAGUAGGUGGUAGAUAGCAUUCCAAGUUCUUUCUCAUUUCCUUCUGAAAAAUUCACUGACUGCAUAAAUCUUUGAUCUCUAUUCCUUUUCUGUUCAAGCACAAAUGCUCAAGUGGUAGAAGUUUAUGACUUCAUCACAGAUGGGCAAUGCAUGCCUCGCUUUUUUUGUUCGCCUUUUCACAUCUGCUUCACUACUUACCUAUCCCUACCCCUUUUUUUGCUUCACUUGGGAGAGUACUCGACAGGCUUUCCAAAUAGCGUCGAACUUUCAGAGGGACAUGUACAUUCCAAGCAUGCAUUCCUUGUAAGAUUGAAAAGUGAAGAGCCCUGCGAUUGUUGUGCUUCAGCUCUACCAGUGGUACACAUAUGUUAGACUAGAUUAUAAACCCUUUUUUCAAUCCCUUGUAUAGUUCCAGAUGAAAGGAAGUGGCUCAACUUGUUAAACUCAAGUUUUAAAGUUUGUGGUUGUGCAGAUUUUCUGAAGCAUCAUUCAUACCAAAAUUG